RNAcentral lists this ribosomal RNA (253 nucleotides) under uncultured bacterium. RNAcentral's name for it is "partial 16S ribosomal RNA". It matches the Rfam family "Bacterial small subunit ribosomal RNA", at positions 524 to 776 of the family's 1533-position model. The record is from RNAcentral.
UACAGAGGGUGCAAGCGUUAAUCGGAGUUACUGGGCGUAAAGGGCACGUAGGCGGUCGAAUAAGUCAGUUGUGAAAUCCCCGGGCUUAACCUGGGAACUGCAAAUGAUACUGUUAGACUAGAGUCGAAGAGAGGGAAGUGGAAUUUCCGGUGUAGCGGUGAAAUGCGUAGAUAUCGGAAGGAACAUCAGUGGCGAAGGCGACUUCCUGGCUUCAGACUGACGCUGAGGUGCGAAAGCGUGGGUAGCGAACAGG